RNAcentral lists this ribosomal RNA (1959 nucleotides) under soil metagenome. Its description in RNAcentral is "bacterial LSU rRNA". It matches the Rfam family "Bacterial large subunit ribosomal RNA", at positions 1 to 1977 of the family's 2925-position model. The record is from RNAcentral.
UAAAGUAAUUAAGGGCGCAUGGUGGAUGCCUUGGCUCUCAGAGACGAUGAAGGACGUGAUAAGCUGCGAUAAGCUCCGGGGAUUGGCAAAUACGAUUCGAUCCGGGGAUUUCCGAAUGGGGCAACCCGGUCCAAUGAAGUUGGAUCAUCCUUCGGGAUGUUAACCCAGAGAACUGAAACAUCUAAGUACCUGGUGGAAAAGAAAAUAAUUUAAUGAUUUCCCAAGUAGUGGCGAGCGAACGGGAAACAGCCCAAACCUCAUUUGUUAAGGCAAAUGGGGGGUUGUAGGACUGCAAUAUGACAGUAAAAAUGAAGUUGAAGCUUCUGGAAAGCAGCAUCAUAGAGGGUGAUAAUCCCGUAAACGUAAGUUUUUAUUCGAUAGCAGUAUCCUGAGUACCACGAGGUCGGAGACGCCUUGUGGGAAUCUGCCGGCACCAUCCGGUAAGGCUAAAUACUCCUGAGAGACCGAUAGUGAACUAGUACCGUGAGGGAAAGGUGAAAAGAACCUCGAACAGAGGAGUGAAAUAGAACCUGAAACCAUGCGCUUACAAGCGGUAGGAGCUCUGUACUUGUACAGAGUGACUGCGUGCCUUUUGCAUAAUGAGCCUACGAGUUACUCCUCUCUGGCAAGGUUAAGGACUGAAGGUCCGGAGCCGAAGCGAAAGCAAGUCUGAAUAGGGCGUAUAGUCAGAGGGGGUAGACGCGAAACUUUGUGAUCUACCCAUGACCAGGUUGAAGCCCCGAUAACACGGGGUGGAGGACCGAACCAGUAAACGUUGAAAAGUUUUUGGAUGAGUUGUGGGUAGGGGUGAAAGGCUAAUCAAACUGAGAAAUAGCUCGUACUCCCCGAAAUGUUUUUAGGAACAGCCUCGAGGUUGAGUCAUAUAGAGGUAGAGCUACUGAUUGGACUAGGGGGCUUCACCGCCUACCAAAUCCUGACAAACUCCGAAUACUAUGACAUAUAUCCAGGAGUGAGGCAUAGGGUGCUAAUGUCCUGUGCCAAGAGGGAAAUAACCCAGACCAUCAGCUAAGGUCCCCAAAUAUAUGCUAAGUUGAUCUAACGAAGUCUGAUUGCAUUGACAGCUAGGAUGUUGGCUUGGAAGCAGCCAUUCAUUUAAAGAGUGCGUAACAGCUCACUAGUCGAGCGAUAGGGCGUGGAUAAUAAGCGGGCAUUAAGCAUAAUACCGAAGCUAUGGAUUUAUAGUAAUAUAACUGGUAGGGGAGCAUUCUAAACACACAGAAGGUGAUCUGUAAGGGUUGCUGGAGAGUUUAGAAAAGCAAAUGUAGGCAUAAGUAACGAUAAUGCGGGCGAGAAACCCGCACACCGUAAGACUAAGGUUUCCUGAUCAACGCUAAUCGGAUCAGGGUUAGUCGGGUCCUAAGGCGAAUCCGAACGGAGUAGUCGAUGGAUAACAGGUUAAUAUUCCUGUACUGACGUUAUCUGUGAUGGGAGGACGGAGGAGUGAAAGGUCUGCGCACUGACGGAAUAGUGCGUUAAAGCUUGUAGAUAUAGGUUCUGUAGGAAAAUCCGCAGAAUUUGUCGAAGGUGAUAGUACGAGGAGUCUUCGGACGAAUUGAUAAUGACCCUAAUCAGACUUUCAAGAAAAUUCCCUAAACUUAAGGUAACGCCACCCGUACCGCAAUCCGACACAGGUAGUCGAGGAGAGUAUCCUCAGGUGCUAGAGUGAAUCACGGCUAAGGAACUAGGCAAAUUAGCUCUGUAACUUCGGGAAAAAGAGCGCUUCGAGCAAUCGAAGCCGCAGUGAAAAGAUCCAGGCAACUGUUUAACAAAAACACAUGGCUUUGCUAAAUCGAAAGAUGAUGUAUAAGGCCUGACACCUGCCCGGUGCUGGAAGGUUAAGAGGAGAGGUUAGUAGUAAUACGAAGCUUUGAAUUGAAGCCCCAGUAAACGGCGGCCGUAACUAUAACGGUCCUAAGGUAGCGAAAUUCCUUGUCGGGU